RNAcentral lists this long non-coding RNA (6442 nucleotides) under Gallus gallus (chicken). Lineage: Eukaryota; Metazoa; Chordata; Aves; Galliformes; Phasianidae. The record is from RNAcentral.
GUCGUCUGGAAAGAAUUUCUCUCCGUUUCUGUGAAUCUGUGACACUGUCCACUGAUUCCUGUGAGUCUUCACUUUCUGCUAUAGUUGAAAUCUGAACUGUCUGGACCUGUGGAGACUGAAUAACUGAUGGCUGGGCAGCCUGAAUUACGCCGUGCACUUGAACUGUCUGCCCAUUGGGCAGCUGAACUAAGGUCACCGUGGGUGCAGAAGACGUGGCGUGAGCUGCUGGCAUAGAUACCUGGGCUAACGUUGCAAUCUGUGGUUGUGCCUGUACUGUCAUCUGUUGGGUUUCUGCCUCUGUAACGGCUGCAUCUCCACUCUGCUGGUUCUCUGCUCCAGAUUCCAUGGUCAUUUAGUUACCGGUUGCGGGCUGCUCCGUCACUGCUUUCGUUCGCGCCUGGGAUCUCGCCGCAGUUUUAUUCUCUCCCCCACGUAACACACCGCGUCAAACUACACCUCCGCCGCGUCACUCACACACACACAGGCGCUCCCAGCCCGGCGACAGGCAGGCAGCGGCCGACUGAGGAGCGCCAGCCAGGGAGCAAGCGCCGAGCGCGCCGCGGCCCGCACGGAAACCGCCGAGCGCUCACGGAAACCGCCGAGCGCGCGGCGGGCGGCGGGAACGGCCGAGCGCGCCGCCGGCCUCCUCGGAAAGAGCCGAGCGGCCGCGGAAACGAACGAAGCGCCCCGGAGGGGUGGCGGAAAGAGCCGAGCGGCCGCGGGAAGGCGCGAACGGCGCUUCCGCCCGAGGCGGCCCGCGGGGCGGGCGGCGGGCUGGCGCGGAAACCCCCGGGCGCGCACGGAAACGGCCGAGCCGCCCCGAGCGGAAGGGGCCCCGCGGGCGGCCGCCGCCCCGCCGAGCGCGCCCGGGGCGCCGGGACCCCGGGUUCGCCGAGCGCGGCCCCGAGCGCGCGUCGGCCGCCGCCCCGCGGGGGCUGCGCGCCCCAGGGCUCCUCCCUCGCUGCCCCGCCGAUCGCGGGGCCCGGGAGCCUCGUCGGCCCGCGGGGACCCCCGCGCCCAACGUCUCCACAAGCACAGCGCGGCGGCGCGGAGCCCCGGCCCUCCCCGCGACACAGAUCCGCCCGCGAAGCGCCGCGCUGCCGGCCGCCGCUAGGCCGGGGGGGCAGACAGGAGCAGACGCCGGGCCGCGAUGGCGGAAACCGGGGCGCCCGCAGCGCCAGCGCCGUGCUCCGCCACCCCAGGACGGGCUCCUCCGGGCACCGAACGGACAAGCCGUUGUCAGGGGAGGCUCUUCGAGGAGCCGGGGCUGCCUCGGCACGGGGUGCGCUGCCCGAGCGCGCCUCCAGCGCGGUCUGCUCGGGGCUAAGGGGCGCACCUCGUCCCGCAGCGAGGAGAGCCAACUUUACCAACUCCUGCCGCCCGAUAAAAGCCCGACGCAGUCUCGCAUAAAGCACUUUCGUGUCACGACACCUCAAGAUGGCACUGCAGAACAAGCUUUGAAGCUCCUGUCAGGCACAUCCCCGGCGCACGGCACCGGCUCUGCCGCUCGGCCCCGCCGUGCUCCUGUCCAGCCCUGCUUUCUCAGGGACGCCUAAUGGAUUUCGUUGAGGCCGUCUCGCGUAAAUCCACCCGACAUCAAAGGGCGGUGCAGAGAACAAUCGCGGGUUUACUUUCUGUUUGCUUCUGUUGAUUACGGUUAUUCUAAAAUCAACUGAAAUAAGCCGGAACUGACAUAUUUAAACAAGGGAGCUCAUGUUAAACUGACAGCGCGGUGCUAAUAACCCCACGACACGGCUUGGGCCACAUCUCAUUUUCCAUCCCUGCUGCGCUUGUCCCCUUCGGCCUGUCUGCAAGCAGGAGCUUCAAGGCUGUGAGAACCUACGUGAGAAAAUGCCCGCAAUGAGCGGGUUGAAAGGCAACCAAAAGGCUCAGACCAGGCCUCAGACGGUGACUCCCAUUAGCAGCCCCAGCUGCACGCUCAGCCAGAGCAGCAGCAGUGCUGCUGACAGGACUGGGUUACAGCCAGGGCCUGAGCUAUAUACACAGCGGGCAGCUCCUUGCACGGCUCUGAUCCUGCUGCCCAUUUAAGGUCUGGAUGAUCCUCCGGCAAUCCCGCUGGCCUUCCCCAGCCCUGCACCCACUUGGGGCUUUCAGCAGUGCUCUCGGUGCCCAUCAGCUCAGCUGCAAAGGGCAUCUUGCAGCGGUGGCUGCUCCUUUGCCAGCCAGCAUAGGCUCCUCAUAGCACAGAUAGCUCAAGAGCGCAGUUUAUCUCAAACUAAAACAGAUGCCUCGGGUAGGUCACAUGCCUGGAGCCAUUUGAGAUUGUGCCAAUGUUAUGUUUCUGUGGUAUUUUCAUCUCUUGCCCAUGGCUGAGGCUAAGACCAUAUGUGGACUGGAGCUGGCUUCAGCCCUGACUCACGCAGAUUCAGUGGCAAGGCUGGGAGAACAUCUCGUGUGCAGCUGCUCUGAAACUUUCUGGCAGCUGCUUUGCACAUUCUUCUUUCCCUUCCAGGGUGUUUGUUUUUCUCCUCUCAGUCAGCAUCCUGACCAAAAUCAGGACACGAAGUAAAACUGGGACUUCUUCAGGAGUGGGAGUCUGAGCCGCAAAACCCCCUUCCCUCACUAGCAUCUAUGCAUUCCUUUAACUGUGGUCUCUUGGGGAAUUUGGACAAAAUGGGAUGGUAAUGAUGUACCAAUUACCCACAAAGUCCAAAAGGGAGAGGUUGACUUGGGGAGCAAACUGGAGAGCUCAGCAGUUUUCUUCAUCGGUGAAAGUUUGCUCGACGAUGAGUGAAACCCAGAAAGAUUAAUUACUUUUCUUGCAGUUAAGCCUCAGGGGCAAAUUCAUUAGCUCUGCAGCUGCCAGGCUGAUUAUCCUGGGCAGUGGUUCCUUGUGCAUGGCUUUGCAGGUUGAUCGCCCCUGGCCCAGGGUCUGUGGAGGCUAAGGGGUGGCACAGAGAUCCAGAUAGGUUGGCACCUGGCUGCGAGGUGUGGCAGAGCCACAGACCACAAGUGGCAGUAGUGGAGUAGUCAGAACUGCUGACGCUGGUCACACACAGGGCAGUAUUUAUUGCGGAAACACAGAGAAAUGUGCAUUUUAAGCACUCCGGUCUACACGCCACUGAGCAGAAUGCAACACAAAAAUAGUUUCUGAAGCCACCUCAAGGACUGAUUUAUAGCAAAAUCGUCUUUCAACAUCACAUACUCACUGCCAGUUUCCGUAGGACCACUGUGGUCUGGCAGUGCAGGGACAGAGAGAGGGUGUUUUGUACUUGCAUGACUUAACGUACAGCACAAGUAUUGCUGGGGAGAAAAGAAGGUAGGGUGUGCUCCAGGGCUUCACAACCACCUUCACUAAUGGAUAUUCUCCUAAGGAAAGAGACAGAAGCAGAUCGCUUGCAAGUAAUGAAUGUGGAGGGAGGCAGAUGUUACAUUAGAUGGUUAGCAAAGUGUCCGGCACAUUUCAGUACAACAAGCAUUGCACUGCACUAUUUCUGAAACAGAUGCAGAGGAAGGCAGGAGUACCUCCAUGUCUCUGUGAUGGAUGUUGCUGCUCAUAGCAGACUGACCCAAAGGUGACUGGUAGGGCAGAAAAUGAAAGAUGCUCCUCUGAAACCCAAUGGCAAGUCCUCCAUUUUGGUCUCUGCAUCUGAGAUAGAUGGAGGCUUAGCUACAAACUCCCAUGCAGAGCAGCCUUCAAUCAUUUUAUAGCCUCUCAGGACCAGCUAAAACUGCUUACUCAUCAGGAUGAGGACAAAACCCUACAGGUUUAGUACCUGCCAGGGAGAAGAAGAUUCACUGGGCUCCCCGAGCACUUUAUUACAGAAGUAGGUCUAAAUUCACAGGUACCUUCGAACAAAGUAACCAAAAAUAGAAAUAGUUUUUCAACGUCAUCCCACUUAAAGUUAAUGAACUGCAGCUCAGGUCUGCCCUCCCUGCUCUUGGACAUUAAUCAUUGCUAAAAGCAAUAAAUCUUCUAGGCCAAAUACAGGCUUUACAAGCAGGCAGUUUGCAUGCUCAAUUAGCCCAAGGAAAUUGGUGACUUGGCUUAACCCCCAUUGUUUGAAAUACAGAAUCCUGCUGCUGCAUCGGUCACUUUUUUUCCUGCGAACGCAGCAGCCCAGGAGGGGAAAUCCCCGUCCCCUGGUGGGGACACGCUACUUUCUGCAAGGCUGCAUCCUUUGCUUUCAUCUCAGUGCCACUCAGUGAUGCAGCAAAGGUGGGAUUUGAACUGGGUGCAGCAGUGAAGGUGCAGGCAUGCUCUGUGCUGCUUUUCUUGCUUUGGGACCAACAGGGAAAUGGCCUGACGGCACCUUGGUUAUCAGUGUCACUGCACCGACAGCAACUCCCUUGUGCCAAAACAUGGUGACUUUUUCCUUGUCUGUUAACUCUUUUACCACAUACUUCACAAUUUGUGGGUAUACCCAAAACCCUUCUGUUGCUUUAAGAACUACAAAAACCGAUUAAUGAUAUUGGCAGCACUUCACUGAAGAGUCAGGCACAGCAAAUGCGAAGAGGAGGACAGGUCUCCAGCUGAGAUACCACGUGCUGGGAUGUGGCUGCAGGGUGAGCAAGGCCAGCCCAAGGCAGGGGAGAGGUCUCUCGGUGGGAACUUUUCCAUCCCUGUGGGAAAUUUAAUUUAUCUGUGGCACACGGAGGAAAAAACUGAGGUAGAAGGCCUGGUGCUGAAAUGUAAAAACACAGUAAACCCAGUAACUGCUUUCAGACUGAAAAUGGGGCGGUGGGGGAGAAAUUUUCAGGGAGUAAUUUUGGGAAAUACCCUCUGAGAUUUGGCCAGCUUUAGCUCCGAGUGCCUGCACUGUAGCCUGAAGUUGGCUGCCGGGGAUAAUCACUCUGAUGGUAAAUACUGCAUUUCUAUCGGCACAGCCUGCUGGUUUGGAAUCAGCUCCCAUCAUAUAGAAAACAUUAUUUAGAGUGGCUUCCAUACUUUGAAAAAAUAGAAAUAAAUCUUACACCUCCCUAUCUGUCUUUCUGUCACGUGAGGACCUAGCAAACAUUCAUCUGCUGAAUAAUUUUGGUGGCAGCAGGAAGCUGGGAGUCCAUGCAUGUGGCAUUUGGUUUCAAGAUCAGGAUCUCAUCAACUUGCUUUAGCUGAUGUCUGUGUACGCUGAGCUGCUCCAGUUUUCAGCAUGUCCUUUCACUCUAAAGUUGAAUUGCUGGAGUUGUGGGAAGAAGGGGGAGGUUUUGGGGAAAAUGCUGGUAGAAACACCUGGGGGGUUGGCUGAUUGGAACAAAACAGGAAAAAAAGAAGGUGGAAGAGCAGAGGAACGGUUAAUGUUGACCUCCUUAGUUUUCCAUUGCAAGUGUGUGCUAUCCGUUGCUAAUUUAGCUGCACAAGGGGACCACGCUUCCUUUAACACAUACCAGGGCUCCGAUCUUUCUCUCAGCUUGUGAUAUACAAACAGCAAAUUGAGUCCCAGUUGAGCUGUAUUUAUCAGCUCAAAAGAAACUGGAUUUUUCCCUUACGCAGUCGGGCAGAAAACCUUGUCAGACAACAUGAGCAGAGAACAACACGCUCUCCCAAACUCCUUGCAGGUGGUCAAUUUCAACCAUUAGAUUGGCAUAUCCCCACUGUCCAUCAUGCAUCCCUAUCUUAUCUCUCUAUCCCCGCUGCCCAUCAUCCGUGCCCACCUCCCAUGCCCAUCAUCCAUCUCCAUCCCCACCACUUAUCUGUGUGAUAUCCAUCACCUCCUUUCAUCCCACACCAUCAUCUUUUGCACAACUAACUGCUUUGCCCUCUGACCACAUGCACUGAUCGAAGUGAAGAUGACUGCAAGCUGGUUUGAAUUGCAAUUUAAACAGGCAAGCAGGAAGCCUGGAUUUAAAUAAUGAGGUUUAGCCUUGUUUUUGGAUUUGUUUUUGCUUAUUGUCUUUCAGGUCGAUUCUCAUGGACUGCUAACUAUUAAAACGUAGUGAUUUAUACAAUACCUCUACUGGCCUUGCUAUUAUGUGUAGGUGAGAAUGAGAUACUGUAUCUAAUCACAGGUAUUUAUUUAUCCAAUUACAUAACAUAUUUACCUGUGUGGCUAUAUAACAUAUAAUUUAAUUUGUUCUAUGAAAAUAGCGUGCCUUCCUUACUAGAUUUGUGUCAAACCAUCUGAACAUAAAUUGGAAUUCAAAUAAAAAAAUCACAUUACUUUAAAGUAUUCUUAUUUAACUAUUGAUAAAAUAGCUCGGAUGGGCACAGAGUAAAUGACAGUAAAACUGGCGUUUACAACAGACCUAUUAGACAGAGGGGAAUUGGACUGAGGAAAACAAAUCGAUUUUUUUCUACGCUACGCUUGAAGACUGCGCAUAUGGAAGGGAUCUGCUGAUUUAGAAAAACCUAAUCAUAGACAAAUGCUCAUUUCUUUCCUUCUGCCUCUCACUUUGGUGUUGAUCUCCAGGGGUUAGGGGGCUCCUGAUGCUGCAGUGCACAUCUUGUGUGCUCCCAGUGAGCUGCUAUGAGAUGUUGGGAAAC